Molecule: ribosomal RNA, 255 nt
Filed under: uncultured bacterium
Lineage: Bacteria
Description: partial 16S ribosomal RNA
Rfam family: Bacterial small subunit ribosomal RNA
Source: RNAcentral
UACAGAGGGGGCAAGCGUUGUUCGGAAUCACUGGGUGUAAAGGGUGCGUAGGCGGUCCGUUAAGUCUGAUGUGAAAGCCCUGGGCUCAACUCAGGAAUGGCCAUUGGAAACUGGCGGGCUGGAGUACUGGAGAGGGAAGCGGGAAUUCCUGGUGUAGCGGUGAAAUGCGUAGAUACCAGGAGGAACACCGGUGGCGAAGGCGGCUCCUGGCCAAGUACUGACGCUGAGGAGCGAAAGCCAGGGGAGCAAACGGGG